CAGAAGAAAACAGGUGUCCCACACUCCAUAGGAUGCCACACCCCAUAAAGUACAAAUACAUUUCCUCAACCAUUUGGAAUUGCUAAAAUGUUCAACCAGGAAUCAGCAAAAACCUCUAGACCCUUGGAUAUAAGAAAAAGUGCCCACAUAUGAUCCCCUAGAUGAUUUUUGCGUGCCCACGUAUGAUCCCCUAGAUGAUUUUUGCCUGUUCAUGUUCGAACUCCUAAGGCCCUUGGAUUCAUUGUGAACCACGUUGAUAGAAACCAUUGCCUCUCGAUCUGUUAUAGUCGCCACCAUCUUGGGCACUACCCCUGCCUAAACCACGAC
This 327-nucleotide long non-coding RNA is filed under the name Citrus x clementina. RNAcentral describes it as "Citrus clementina (C. clementina) long non-coding RNA (CCLE_LNC004602)". Lineage: Eukaryota; Viridiplantae; Streptophyta; Magnoliopsida; Sapindales; Rutaceae. The record is from RNAcentral.